AAUAGAUACCCGGGUAGUCCACGCUGUAAACGGUGGGUACUAGGUGUGGGGUCCAUUCCACGGGUUCCGUGCCGUAGCUAACGCUUUAAGUACCCCGCCUGGGGAGUACGGCCGCAAGGCUAAAACUCAGAGGAAUUGACGGGGCCCCGCACAAGCGGCGGAGCAUGCGGAUUAAUUCGAUGCAACGCGUAGAACCUUACCUGGGUUUGACAUGGAUCGGGAGUGCUCAGAGAUGGGUGUGCCUCUUUUGGGGUCGGUUCACAGGUGGUGCAUGGCUGUCGUCAGCUCGUGUCGUGAGAUGUUGGGUUAAGUCCCGCAACGAGCGCAACCCUUGUUCACUGUUGCCAGCACGUUAUGGUGGGGACUCAGUGGAGACCGCCGGGGUCAACUCGGAGGAAGGUGGGGAUGACGUCAAGUCAUCAUGCCCCUUAUGUCCAGGGCUUCACGCAUGCUACAAUGGCUGGUACAGAGAGUGGCGAGCCUGUGAGGGUGAGCGAAUCUCGGAAAGCCGGUCUCAGUUCGGAUUGGGGUCUGCUAACCG
RNAcentral lists this ribosomal RNA (541 nucleotides) under uncultured bacterium. Its description in RNAcentral is "bacterial SSU rRNA". It matches the Rfam family "Bacterial small subunit ribosomal RNA", at positions 777 to 1314 of the family's 1533-position model. The record is from RNAcentral.